RNAcentral lists this long non-coding RNA (1273 nucleotides) under Capsella rubella. RNAcentral's name for it is "long non-coding RNA (CRUB_LNC004123)". Lineage: Eukaryota; Viridiplantae; Streptophyta; Magnoliopsida; Brassicales; Brassicaceae. The record is from RNAcentral.
AAUUUUGUGUGGUGUUGUCAUGAAAUAAGAUGACAUCUCUCAUUCUCAUGGUGUUUGUUUGUAACAAACAGGUUCGUAAUAGUUUCAAAUUUCAGAACAAGACAUCACAGCCUUGCAUGUAUAUACUAUACUUUUUUACUUUUUUUUUCUUUUUAGUUAAAAAUAUUGAUUUUGAUUUACAAAUAUUCAAAAAGUAGAAAACAUUUUAUGUUUUUUCACUUCUGAUUUUUAUGAUUAAAAACCAAAUACAGUAUCAAAGUUUUUACCAAAUAAUUUAGAAGUAAAUAGUUUUUAAUUUAUAAUUUAACCAACCUGUGUUUUUAAAAAAUUAAGUGUUAAAUUUACGUUGAAAACAAACCGGACCUAGCAUCCAGUUCAUUCUUGUCCAUCUUACCCAUAUGUAAAUUUAAUGCUAAAAAACAACCUAUGGAUUUCUCCCGGUCCAUCUUACCUAUAUGUUCAUAACUAAACUAUGAUAAUUUAAUGAAUGAUAUAUAUAUGAGAUUUUAAAUAACAGGGAUGCGCUAUAAUUACAAUGUAACUCCACAGGUUUGAAGACGCUGGUUAGGGGUAACGAAGGUGUUUCGUGCCUCACUCAUUUGGUUGGUUGUGCAGCCAUGGUGGAAGUUGUCGGCUGAGAAGGUGGGUUUGGUCGAAUCGUCAUGGUGGUUAGUGGUAGAUCCGUUGGGAUCUUGAUGGCCGUCGCAGAUUGUUGAUGUUUGAACUUCCGAUUGAGCCUUCAGCCUCAAUCAUCACUGCGACUUGCUUCCCCAUGGCCGAUUAGAAGGAGUUUGGUCCUUCGAUUGGAUGGUUGUCAUAACAGGGAAGGAGGGGUUAGGUUGGAAGUAGUCGGUUCGCUUGGUUCGGGAGCUGACUACAACGUGAUGAGUCAUUAGAGGGUGGGCCUUUCCGCGAGAUUUGUGGUGGGUUGGUUGCUUCCUCUCCGUUGCCUAGAUACCUCGGUCCGCCACAAAGCCGUGGAUCUGGCUUCCACCGAAUCUAAUGGCUGGACCUUACGCGACACGGUGUCAAUAUGUCCAGAACCUCUUUUCCAGCAACAAUUUUGGCCUCCGAUUUGCUUUCUUCUGUUUUUUGUUGUAAAGCCAAAGCCCAGCCCAUCAAAGGGCCUUUUCAAUAAAAAAAAAAGCCUUCAUAAAAUAAAAUAAAAUAAAAAGAAGCAAAUAAAAUAUAUUAAGGCAUGAGAAGAAGUUGAGAUCAUGUUGUGCUGUGUUUUUUUCUUAUAAUUAUAUUGAGAUCUAUUAUAUCUACCAAA